This 429-nucleotide ribosomal RNA is filed under the name Pseudomonadota bacterium. RNAcentral describes it as "Proteobacteria bacterium partial 16S ribosomal RNA". It matches the Rfam family "Bacterial small subunit ribosomal RNA", at positions 355 to 776 of the family's 1533-position model. The record is from RNAcentral. Lineage: Bacteria; Pseudomonadati; Pseudomonadota.
UGGGGAAUAUUGGACAAUGGGCGAAAGCCUGAUCCAGCCAUGCCGCGUGUGCGAAGAAGGUCUUCGGAUUGUAAAGCACUUUAAGUUGGGAGGAAGGGCAGUAAGCGAAUACCUUGCUGUUUUGACGUUACCGACAGAAUAAGCACCGGCUAACUCUGUGCCAGCAGCCGCGGUAAUACAGAGGGUGCAAGCGUUAAUCGGAAUUACUGGGCGUAAAGCGCGCGUAGGUGGUUCGUUAAGUUGAAUGUGAAAGCCCCGGGCUCAACCUGGGAACUGCAUCCAAAACUGGCGAGCUAGAGUAGGGCAGAGGGUGGUGGAAUUUCCUGUGUAGAGGUGAAAUGCGUAGAUAUAGGAAGGAACACCAGUGGCGAAGGCGACCACCUGGGCUCAUACUGACACUGAGGUGCGAAAGCGUGGGGAGCAAACAGG